AAACACAGCCACAUCACCCUGCAGCCCAAGACCGGUUACUCACUGAAGCUAAGCAGGGCUGAGCCUGGUUAGUACCUGGAUGGGAGACCACUAGGGAACACUAGGUUGAUGUUGGAA
This 117-nucleotide ribosomal RNA is filed under the name Danio rerio (zebrafish). Lineage: Eukaryota; Metazoa; Chordata; Actinopteri; Cypriniformes; Danionidae. The record is from RNAcentral.